RNAcentral lists this ribosomal RNA (419 nucleotides) under uncultured bacterium. Its description in RNAcentral is "bacterial SSU rRNA". It matches the Rfam family "Bacterial small subunit ribosomal RNA", at positions 355 to 787 of the family's 1533-position model. The record is from RNAcentral.
UGGGGAAUAUUGCACAAUGGGGGAAACCCUGAUGCAGCGACGCCGCGUGAGUGAAGAAGUAUUUCGGUAUGUAAAGCUCUAUCAGCAGGGAAGAAAAUGACGGUACCUGACUAAGAAGCCCCGGCUAACUACGUGCCAGCAGCCGCGGUAAUACGUAGGGGGCAAGCGUUAUCCGGAUUUACUGGGUGUAAAGGGAGCGUAGACGGCUGUGCAAGUCUGAUGUGAAAGGGCAGGGGGCUCAACUCCUGGACUGCAUUGGAAACUGUGUAGCUUGAGUGCCGGAGAGGUAAGCGGAAUUCCUAGUGUAGCGGUGAAAAUGCGUAGAUAUUAGGAGGAACACCAGUGGCGAAGGCGACUUACUGGACUGUAACUGACGUUGAGGCACGAAAGUGUGGGGAGCAAAACAGGAUUAGAUACCC